Molecule: ribosomal RNA, 253 nt
Filed under: uncultured bacterium
Lineage: Bacteria
Description: partial 16S ribosomal RNA
Rfam family: Bacterial small subunit ribosomal RNA
Source: RNAcentral
UACGGAGGGUGCAAGCGUUAUCCGGAUUCACUGGGUUUAAAGGGUGCGUAGGUGGGUCUGUAAGUCAGUGGUGAAAUCUCCAGGCUUAACCUGGAAACUGCCAUUGAUACUAUAGGUCUUGAAUUAUCUGGAGAUCAGCGGAAUAUGUCAUGUAGCGGUGAAAUGCUUAGAUAUGACAUAGAACACCGAUUGCGAAGGCAGCUGGCUACAGGUAUAUUGACACUGAGGCACGAAAGCGUGGGGAUCAAACAGG